RNAcentral lists this transfer RNA (82 nucleotides) under Phenylobacterium sp. Root1277. It matches the Rfam family "tRNA". Rfam says of the family: Transfer RNA (tRNA) molecules are approximately 80 nucleotides in length. Their secondary structure includes four short double-helical elements and three loops (D, anti-codon, and T loops). The record is from Rfam by way of RNAcentral. Lineage: Bacteria; Pseudomonadati; Pseudomonadota; Alphaproteobacteria; Caulobacterales; Caulobacteraceae.
GCCCCCUUGGCGGAAUUGGUAGACGCAGAGGACUUAAAAUCCUUUGCCGUAUGGCGUCCCGGUUCGAGUCCGGGAGGGGGCA